CCAGCCUGCAUGCAACAUGCCGCGUGAGUGAUGAGGCCUUCGGGUUGUAAAGCUCUUUUGCCCGGGAUGAUAAUGUAUGUAACGGGAGAUAGUACCUUGCUAGUUCCUUGCCAGCAGCCGCGGUUUACUCCGUGCCAGCAGCCGCGGUAAUACAC
Molecule: ribosomal RNA, 155 nt
Filed under: uncultured bacterium
Lineage: Bacteria
Description: partial 16S ribosomal DNA
Rfam family: Bacterial small subunit ribosomal RNA
Source: RNAcentral